Molecule: long non-coding RNA, 200 nt
Filed under: Elaeis guineensis (African oil palm)
Lineage: Eukaryota; Viridiplantae; Streptophyta; Magnoliopsida; Arecales; Arecaceae
Description: long non-coding RNA (EGUI_LNC004467)
Source: RNAcentral
CCUACAAGCGCCCAUGGCAGAUUAUUGGUUGGGACAAGGUUGCGAAGCUCAUAGAAGAAUUCCACCCGAGAAGAAUGGUCGUGAGGUCUAUAGAUGUUAGUGAUAAUGAACUCGGUAUUUGUUCAUUUGCUGUUGAACUGAAUGGUUAGAGAGAAUCUUUCUCGAUGGAUUAGAUUUCCUAUCAUUUUAUUUAGGUCCCA